Molecule: ribosomal RNA, 315 nt
Filed under: Triticum aestivum (bread wheat)
Lineage: Eukaryota; Viridiplantae; Streptophyta; Magnoliopsida; Poales; Poaceae
Description: partial small subunit ribosomal RNA
Source: RNAcentral
AUGAUUCUUUUAGCCUAUGAACCUACCAUCAGUGUAAUAUUGGUCUUUAAAUACUUCCAACUUGCAUGGUUUUCUCUCGCCCUUUGCGCCAUUGGCGCAACGGGUCAUCUAGUAUUCUUAAAUGAGGAUGGAAAGGAGACAAAAGUUGUGUUUUCUGUGGGCAAGAUGAAAGCAUUGAUCACCCUUUUUUCUUCUGUAAAUCUCAAAGAUUUCUUUGCUAGAUGGAUCAAGAAAUUCCAGAAACCUAACAAAAAAUUUGUUGUUGUUGGGGUCUCGGCUUUGUUUGGUCUCUCUCGAAGUGUAGAAAUGAUGUGA